Molecule: ribosomal RNA, 464 nt
Filed under: uncultured bacterium
Lineage: Bacteria
Description: bacterial SSU rRNA
Rfam family: Bacterial small subunit ribosomal RNA
Source: RNAcentral
CCAGACUCCUACGGGAGGCAGCAGUGAGGAAUAUUGGUCAAUGGCCGAGAGGCUGAACCAGCCAAGUCGCGUGAGGGAAGACGGCCCUACGGGUUGUAAACCUCUUUUGUCGGGGAGCAAAGCGAACCACGUGUGGUUCAUUGAGAGUACCCGAAGAAAAAGCAUCGGCUAACUCCGUGCCAGCAGCCGCGGUAAUACGUAGGGGGCAAGCGUUAUCCGGAUUUACUGGGUGUAAAGGGGGCGCAGACGGCGAUGCAAGCCAGGAGUGAAAGCCCGGGGCCCAACCCCGGGACUGCUCUUGGAACUGCGUGGCUGGAGUGCAGGAGAGGUAAGUGGAAUUCCUAGUGUAGCGGUGAAAUGCGUAGAUAUUAGGAGGAACACCAGUGGCGAAGGCGGCUUACUGGACUGUAACUGACGUUGAGGCUCGAAAGCGUGGGGAGCAAACAGGAUUAGAUACCCUCGUA